UUCAGAAAAAGGCAAAUCUUUCGAAAGAAAGCGACGCAAAGCUACAGAUCUAAGGUGCAACGGCACUAUGAUGGCUGAGCUCCCUGG
This 87-nucleotide non-coding RNA is filed under the name Bacillus sp. (in: firmicutes). RNAcentral describes it as "Bacillus sp. c-di-GMP sequence". It matches the Rfam family "c-di-GMP-I riboswitch aptamer". Rfam says of the family: GEMM was predicted in a large-scale screen for bacterial structured RNA regulatory elements. Genes associated with GEMM are involved in a diverse array of functions, including chemotaxis regulation, signal transduction, secretion and chitin. Lineage: Bacteria; Bacillati; Bacillota; Bacilli; Caryophanales; Bacillaceae. RNAcentral also lists the same sequence under 2 other names. The record is from RNAcentral.